Molecule: ribosomal RNA, 492 nt
Filed under: uncultured bacterium
Lineage: Bacteria
Description: partial 16S ribosomal RNA
Rfam family: Bacterial small subunit ribosomal RNA
Source: RNAcentral
AGUGAACGCUGGCGGUAGGCCUAACACAUGCAAGUCGAACGGCAGCACAGUAAGAGCUUGCUCCUACGGGUGGCGAGGGGCGGACGGGGGGGGAAUACAUCGGAAUCUACUUUUUCGUGGGGGAUAACGUAGGGAAACUUACGCUAAUAACGCAUAAGAACUACGGGUGAAAGCAGGGGAUCUUCGGAACUUGCGCGAUUGAAUGAGCCGAUGGCGGAUUAGCUAGUUGGCGGGGUAAAGGCCCACCAAGGCGACGAUCCGUAGCUGGUCUGAGAGGAUGAUCAGCCACACUGGAACUGAGACACGGUCCAGACUCCUACGGGAGGCAGCAGUGGGGAAUAUUGGACAAUGGGCGCAAGCCUGAUCCAGCCAUACCGCGUGGGUGAAGAAGGCCUUCGGGUUGUAAAGCCCUUUUGUUGGGAAAGAAAAGCAGCAGGUUAAUACCCCGCUGUUCUGACGGUACCCAAAGAAUAAGCACCGGCUAACUUCGUG